GAUUCUGUGCGAUGGAUGACUUGGUCCGUGUGUGUACUGAGAACACAGCUAGCUGUAUGAGCUACCAUGAAGGGCAGGACACAUUGAUCACUGAUAGUAUGAACGCUCUUGAAGCCCUGGGUUUACUACAAGGCUAUGCCUGUCUGAGUAUCG
Molecule: ribosomal RNA, 153 nt
Filed under: Sphenodon punctatus (tuatara)
Lineage: Eukaryota; Metazoa; Chordata; Lepidosauria; Sphenodontia; Sphenodontidae
Description: 5.8S ribosomal RNA (ENSSPUG00000012289.1)
Rfam family: 5.8S ribosomal RNA
About the family: 5.8S ribosomal RNA (5.8S rRNA) is a component of the large subunit of the eukaryotic ribosome.
Source: Rfam by way of RNAcentral